This 766-nucleotide ribosomal RNA is filed under the name Wolbachia endosymbiont of Eupteryx melissae. Its description in RNAcentral is "bacterial SSU rRNA". It matches the Rfam family "Bacterial small subunit ribosomal RNA", at positions 135 to 938 of the family's 1533-position model. Lineage: Bacteria; Pseudomonadati; Pseudomonadota; Alphaproteobacteria; Rickettsiales; Anaplasmataceae. The record is from RNAcentral.
AGUACGGAAUAAUUGUUGGAAACGGCAACUAAUACCGUAUACGCCCUACGGGGGAAAAAUUUAUUGCUAUUAGAUGAGCCUAUAUUAGAUUAGCUAGUUGGUGGAGUAAUAGCCUACCAAGGCAAUGAUCUAUAGCUGAUCUGAGAGGAUGAUCAGCCACACUGGAACUGAGAUACGGUCCAGACUYCUACGGGAGGCAGCAGUGGGGAAUAUUGGACAAUGGGCGAAAGCCUGAUCCAGCCAUGCCGCAUGAGUGAAGAAGGCCUUUGGGUUGUAAAGCUCUUUUAGUGAGGAAGAUAAUGACGGUACUCACAGAAGAAGUCCUGGCUAACUCCGUGCCAGCAGCCGCGGUAAUACGGAGAGGGCUAGCGUUAUUCGGAAUUAUUGGGCGUAAAGGGCGCGUAGGCUGAUUAAUAAGUUAAAAGUGAAAUCCCGAGGCUUAACCUUGGAAUUGCUUUUAAAACUAUUAAUCUAGAGAUUGAAAGAGGAUAGAGGAAUUCCUGAUGUAGAGGUAAAAUUCGUAAAUAUUAGGAGGAACACCAGUGGCGAAGGCGUCUAUCUGGUUCAAAUCUGACGCUGAAGCGCGAAGGCGUGGGGAGAAAACAGGAUUAGAUACCCUGGUAGUCCACGCUGUAAACGAUGAAUGUUAAAUAUGGGAAGUUUACUUUCUGUAUUACAGCUAACGCGUUAAACAUUCCGCCUGGGGACUACGGUCGCAAGAUUAAAACUCAAAGGAAUUGACGGGGACCCGCACAAGCGGUGGAGC